UUCAUUGUCAUAUUAAAAAUAUACACCUAAGAUGCAAUUUCGAAAGAGUACAAUUUAAUAAUAUUGUAAGUUUAUAAACUUCUCUUAUGAAUGUGACUAGAGGUGACUAAUGAAUUGAUUAGACUGAUAAUAUGUAAUAAUUUUAGAUGGGUGGGUAAUUUUAAAUGGAUAUGAAUAAAACUCAUUAACCCAGAGGAGAAUUGUUUAUUAGUUACUUUUAACCCAAAUGUAUAGGUAGUGCAUUAAUACAGACUGUACUAUGCAAAAAAGCUAAUUAUAUUAUUAAGGACAUUUUAUUUAUUUAAUUAGUUAUAAUUCUAUGGAGGAACUUUUUCCUGUAGGUAAAUUAGGGGGAGCAGAGCAAGCACAGAUACAAGUAAAAUAAACAGAUUUAAGAAGAAUGUUGCAAGUAAUUUUACAAAUGAAAGAUGUAUUCUUAAUGAUUUAUAUGCAUACAUACAUUAAAAACUUGUACAACUCUGAAUUAUAUGUUAAAGAUAAAUGAUUUAUAUAUCAAUAAAUUUUUUAUGAAGUUAAAUUGGUAUUAACAUAAAUUUGUAGUGAUGUGUAACAAGACUAUAUUAAAAAG
Molecule: long non-coding RNA, 589 nt
Filed under: Panax ginseng (ginseng)
Lineage: Eukaryota; Viridiplantae; Streptophyta; Magnoliopsida; Apiales; Araliaceae
Description: long non-coding RNA (PGIN_LNC014051)
Source: RNAcentral